Long non-coding RNA from Ipomoea triloba (trilobed morning glory), 294 nucleotides. RefSeq lists it as uncharacterized. NCBI's taxonomy places the organism in Eukaryota, Viridiplantae, Streptophyta, Magnoliopsida, Solanales, Convolvulaceae. The record is from RefSeq and is a predicted model, not a curated record. The transcript is spliced from 2 exons.
GGUGAAAUUGGGGAAAUCAACUCCAAAAGCCUUCUACGAGAACUAGUAACCCGGUUGAGUUGCAGAUUAGUGUGGACCCCUGUAGCCCAGCAAGCUCUGAACAGAAGAGAAGUACAGGUUGAGGUCUACUCUAUCUUAGAAUAGAUACUCUGGAAGGAGGACUUCCUUAUGUAUUAAGUUUGAUAUUGAUGUUGUAGUUUGAUGUUGCAUUUUGAGGUUGUAAGUUUAGCCUUAACGUUUGGGUAUAGGAGAGAUACCUAAGCGUGGCGGUAACACCCGAUUUUCUGCUGGCUA